Molecule: small nuclear RNA, 107 nt
Organism: Ornithorhynchus anatinus (platypus)
Lineage: Eukaryota; Metazoa; Chordata; Mammalia; Monotremata; Ornithorhynchidae
Source: RefSeq, a predicted model, not a curated record
GCACUCGCUUCGGCAGCACAUAUACUGAAAUUGGAAUGAUACAGAGAAGAUUAGCAUGGCCCCUGCGCAAGGAUAACACGUGAAUUGAGAAAGCGUUCCGUAUUUUU